Macaca fascicularis (crab-eating macaque) is the source of this 95-nucleotide small nucleolar RNA. NCBI's taxonomy places the organism in Eukaryota, Metazoa, Chordata, Mammalia, Primates, Cercopithecidae. The record is from Ensembl.
UGGAUCAAUGAUGUGAUGACCACUAGUGGCGUAUGAAUCUUAUGUGGCAUAUGAGUCUUAUAUAGUGAAUACGUGUUUGAAACUCUGAGGUCUGU